Podarcis lilfordi (Lilford's wall lizard) is the source of this 76-nucleotide non-coding RNA. Lineage: Eukaryota; Metazoa; Chordata; Lepidosauria; Squamata; Lacertidae. The record is from the annotation of a GenBank genome assembly.
GACUGAGGGAUAGCUCAGUCAGUAGAGAAUGAGACUCUUAAUCUCAGAGUCGUGGUUUCAAACCCCAUGUUGGGCA